UUUCCGUAGGUGAACCUGCGGAAGGAUCAUUAGUGAAUUGAAUAUGUUAGCGGCCUCUUCGGAGUCCCUAGCCUCAAAUCAUAUUCAUAACACCUGUGAACUGUAAGGCUGUCUUGAAAACGAAAGUGAUUAGAGCGCCUGCCCAUUUUAUACAAACAUUAAAGUAACAAACGUAGUCUUAUUAUAAUCUAAUAAAACUUUCAACAACGGAUCUCUUGGCUCUC
Molecule: unclassified non-coding RNA, 224 nt
Filed under: plant metagenome
Description: partial contains small subunit ribosomal RNA, internal transcribed spacer 1, and 5.8S ribosomal RNA
Source: RNAcentral